UGAGGAAUUUUGCGCAAUGGGAGCAAUCCUGACGCAGCAACGCCGCGUGGGUGAUGAAGGCCUUCGGGUCGUAAAGCCCUGUCAGGUGGGAAGAAUGUCCCGGGACUGAACAGGUUUUGGGAGUGACGGUACCACCAGAGGAAGCACCGGCUAACUCCGUGCCCGCAGCCGCGGUAAUACGGAGGGUGCAAGCGUUAUUCGGAAUUACUGGGCGUAAAGCGCGUGUAGGCGGUCCUGCAAGUCUGAUGUGAAAUCCCCGGGCUUAACCCGUGAAGUGCAUUGGAAACUGUGGGACUUGAGUACUGGAGAGGAUGGGGGAAUUGCCGGUGUAGAGGUGAAAUUCGUAGAGAUCGGGAGGAAUAUCAGUGGCGAAGGCGCCCAUCUGGACGGUAACUGACGCUGAGACGCGAAAGCGUGGGGAGCAAACA
RNAcentral lists this ribosomal RNA (428 nucleotides) under uncultured prokaryote. RNAcentral describes it as "bacterial SSU rRNA". It matches the Rfam family "Bacterial small subunit ribosomal RNA", at positions 355 to 774 of the family's 1533-position model. The record is from RNAcentral.